GAUGAACGCUGGCGGCGUGCCUAAUACAUGCAAGUCGAGCGAACGGACGAGAAGCUUGCUUUUCUGAUGUUAGCGGCGGACGGGUGAGUAACACGUGGAUAACCUACCUAUAAGACUGUGAUAACUUCGGGAAACCGGAGCUAAUACCGGAUAAUAUUUUGAACCGCAUGGUUCAAAAGUGAAAGACGGUCUUGCUGUCACUUAUAGAUGGAUCCGCGCUGCAUUAGCUAGUUGGUAGGGUAACGGCUUACCAAGGCAACGAUGCAUAGCCGACCUGAGAGGGUGAUCGGCCACACUGGAACUGAGACACGGUCCAGACUCCUACGGGAGGCAGCAGUAGGGAAUCUUCCGCAAUGGGCGAAAGCCUGACGGAGCAACGCCGCGUGAGUGAUGAAGGUCUUCGGAUCGUAAAACUCUGUUAUUAGGGAAGAACAUAUGUGUAAGUAACUGUGCACAUCUUGACGGUACCUAAUCAGAAAGCCACGGCUAACUACGUG
This 497-nucleotide ribosomal RNA is filed under the name uncultured bacterium. RNAcentral's name for it is "partial 16S ribosomal RNA". It matches the Rfam family "Bacterial small subunit ribosomal RNA", at positions 28 to 507 of the family's 1533-position model. The record is from RNAcentral.